UGUUUGUUGUAAGGGCGCACGGUGGAUGCCUGGGCAUGUCAAGCCGAUGAAGGACGUGAAGGGCUGCGUUAAGCCUCGGGGAGUUGCCGAUUAAGCGUUGAUCCGAGGAUGUCCGAAUGGGGAAACCCGGCCGUGGUUAUGUGCGGUCACCUGCUGCUGAAUGAAAUAGGUGGUAUGGGGGUUACGCGGGGAAGUGAAACAUCUCAGUACCCGUAGGAGAAGAAAACAAUAUGUGAUUCCGUUAGUAGUGGCGAGCGAAGGCGGAGGUGAUGGCUAAACUCUAUGCGUGGAUGAUACUUGGUAGGGGUUGCGUGUAGGGGGUUGUGGGAUGCGUGUGUCUGGCUGGCUACCACUGGCUGGGACCCUUGGAUUGUGUGUUAGGGGAAGUGGUGUGGAAUCGCCUGCCGUAGACGGUGAGAGUCCGGUACCUGAAGACAUGUGGUUGGGGUGUGUGCGUAUUUCCCGAGUAGCAGCGGGCUCGUGGAAUCUGCUGUGAAUCUGCCGGGACCACCCGGUAAGCCUGAAUACUUGGCGUGACCGAUAGUGUAGUUAGUACCGUGAGGGAAGGGUGAAAAGUACCCCGGGAGGGGAGUGAAAUAGUUCCUGAAACCGUGUGCUUACAAUCCGUCAUAGCCCCUGUUUGUGGGGUGGUGGCGUGCCUUUUGAAGAAUGAGCCUGCGAGUCAGCGGCAUGUCGCGAGGUUAACCCGUGUGUGUGGGGUAGUCGUAGCGAAAGCGAAUCCUAAUUGAGGGUGUGUUAGUGGCAUGUUCUGGACCCGAAGCGGGGUGAUCUACCCAUGGCCAGUGUGAAGCGGUGGUAAAACAUUGUGGAGGCGCGAACCCACUUAGGUUGAAAACUGAGGGGAUGAGCUGUGGGUAGGGGUGAAAGGCCAAUCAAACUCCGUGAUAGCUGGUUCUCCCCGAAAUGCAUUUAGGUGCAGCGUCGCGUGGUCCCUGGUGGAGGUAGAGCUACUGGAUGGCCGAUGGGCCCUGUGGGUUACUGACGUCAGCCAAACUCCGAAUGCCAUUAGGUGUAGCGUGGCAGUGAGACUGCGGGGGAUAAGCUUCGUAGUCGAGAGGGAAACAGCCCAGAUCAUCAGCUAAGGCCCCUAAGCGUGCGCUAAGUGGGAAAGGAUGUGGAGUCGCGGUGACAACCAGGAGGUUGGCUUAGAAGCAGCCAUCCUUGAAAGAGUGCGUAAUAGCUCACUGGUCAAGUGGUUCUGCGCCGACAAUGUAGCGGGGCUCAAGCGUACCGCCGAAGCUGUGGCAACAACACGCGAUGCUGGCGCCAGGAACUGGAGUGCUGGUGUGUUGUUGGGUAGGGGAGCGUCCUGCACGAGGUGAAGCCUGGAGGGAACUUCUGGUGGAUUGUGUGGGAGUGAGAAUGCAGGCAUGAGUAACGAAUCUGCGGUGAGAAUCCGCAGCGCCGAUUGACUAAGGGUUCCAGGGCUAGGUUUAUCCGCCCUGGGUUAGUCGGGUCCUAAGGCGAGGCCGACAGGCGUAGUCGAUGGACAACCAGUUGAUAUUCUGGUACCGCGUUAUGACCGCCCAUGCUGAAGUCAUUGUGCUAACCAAUUUGCUCACGCCGCCUCCACGCUUUCGGGCGUGUUGGUGUGUGUGGGUCUUGGGGUCCCGGUGAUGGUAGGCAAGCGUGUUAACAGGGGUGACGCAGACAGGUAGCUGCAGUGCGCCGAUGGUUGUGCGUAUUUAAGGUUGUGGCCCGCCUCCCAGGCAAAUCCGGGGGGCAUGUGGGUGAGAACUGAUGAGGGACACACGCGUGUGUGGACUUGUGGUGAUCCUAAGCUGCCGAGAAAAGCCUCGACGUGAGGGCAUGACGCGCCCGUACCCUAAACCGACUCAGGUGGUCAGGUAGAGUAUACCGAGGCGUUCGAGUGAAUCGUGGUUAAGGAACUCGGCAAAAUUCCUCCGUAACUUCGGGAUAAGGAGGACCCCGUGACUUCCCUCCGCCGCGCGUGGGGGUGGGGUUGUGGGGUCGCAGAGAAUAGGGAGAAGCGACUGUUUAUCAAAAACACAGGUGCGUGCGAAGCCGUAAGGCGAUGUAUACGCACUGACGCCUGCCCGGUGCUGGAAGGUUAAGAGGAACUGUCAACACCCCCUUGGGGUGUGAAGCGGUGAAUUUAAGCCCCAGUAAACGGCGGUGGUAACUAUAACCAUCCUAAGGUAGCGAAAUUCCUUGUCGGGUAAGUUCCGACCUGCACGAAUGGCGUAACGACUUCCCCGCUGUCUCAACCAUGAGCUCGGCGAAAUUGCAGUACGAGUAAAGAUGCUCGUUUCGCGCAGAAGGACGGAAAGACCCCGGGACCUUUACUACAGCUUGGUAUUGGCGCCCGCUAUAGCUUGUGCAGGAUAGGUGGGAGACUGUGAAGCCGUUACGCCAGUGGCGGUGGAGUCGUCCUUGAAAUACCACUCUGGUUAUGGCGUGCGCCUGAACCUGGGCCCGUGAUCCGGGUUAGGGACAGUGCCUGGUGGGUAGUUUAACUGGGGCGGUUGCCUCCUAAAGUGUAACGGAGGCGCUCAAAGGUUCCCUCAGCCUGGUCGGCAACCAGGUGUUGAGUGCAAGUGCACAAGGGAGCUUGACUGUGAGACCGACGGGUCGAGCAGGUACGAAAGUAGGAACUAGUGAUCCGGCGAUCCCGUGUGGGUGGGUCGUCGCUCAACGGAUAAAAGGUACCCCGGGGAUAACAGGCUGAUCCUGCCCAAGAGUCCAUAUCGACGGCAUGGUUUGGCACCUCGAUGUCGGCUCGUCGC
RNAcentral lists this ribosomal RNA (2768 nucleotides) under human oral metagenome. RNAcentral describes it as "bacterial LSU rRNA". It matches the Rfam family "Bacterial large subunit ribosomal RNA", at positions 1 to 2543 of the family's 2925-position model. The record is from RNAcentral.